RNAcentral lists this ribosomal RNA (406 nucleotides) under uncultured bacterium. Its description in RNAcentral is "partial 16S ribosomal RNA". It matches the Rfam family "Bacterial small subunit ribosomal RNA", at positions 30 to 526 of the family's 1533-position model. The record is from RNAcentral.
AUUGAACGCUGGCGGCAGGCCUAACACAUGCAAGUCGAACGAGUGGCGGACGGGUGAGUAAUGUCUGGGAAACUGCCCGAUGGAUGGGGAUAACUACUGGAAACGGUAGCUAAUACCGCAUAGCAUCGGAUGUGACCAGAUGGGCUUAGCUAGUAGGUGUGGUAACGGCUCACCUAGUCGACGAGCCCUAGCUGGGCUGAGAGGAUGACCAGCCACACUGGAACUGAGACACGGUCCAGACUCCUACGGGAGGCAGCAGUGGGGAAUAUUGCACAAUGGGCGCAAGCCUGAUGCAGCCAUGCCGCGUGUAUGAAGAAGGCCUUCGGGUUGUAAAGUACUUUCAGCGAGGAGGCGUUACUCGCAGAAGAAGCACCGGCUAACUCCGUGCCAGCAGCCGCGGUAAUAC